RNAcentral lists this unclassified non-coding RNA (313 nucleotides) under uncultured Aspergillus. RNAcentral's name for it is "sequence contains ITS1". The stretch from base 1 to 105 matches the Rfam family "5.8S ribosomal RNA", at positions 50 to 154 of the family's 154-position model. The record is from RNAcentral. Lineage: Eukaryota; Fungi; Ascomycota; Eurotiomycetes; Eurotiales; Aspergillaceae.
GAAAUGCGAUAAUUAAUGUGAAUUGCAGAAUUCAGUGAAUCAUCGAGUCUUUGAACGCACAUUGCACCCCCUGGUAUUCCGGGGGGUAUGCCUGUCCGAGCGUCAUUGCUGCCCUCAAGCACGGCUUGUGUGUUGGGCCCCGUCCCCGGUACCCCCGGGGACGGGCCCGAAAGGCAGCGGCGGCACCGCGUCCGGUCCUCGAGCGUAUGGGGCUUUGUCACCCGCUCUGCAGGCCCGGCCGGCGCCAGCCGACCAACCCAACCAUUUUUUACAGGUUGACCUCGGAUCAGGUAGGGAUACCCGCUGAACUUAA